AUGCUUAACACAUGCAAGUCGAACGGUAACAGAUAAGAUGAUCUCUUCGGAGUGAAUCUUUGCUGACGAGUGGCGGACGGGUGAGUAAUGCUUGGGAAUCUGCCCAAUAGUGGGGGAAAACUCGGGGAAACCCGGGCUAAUACCGCAUAAUCUCUACGGAGGAAAGAGGGCCUCUACAUGUAAGCUCUCGCUAAUGGAUGAGCCCAAGUCAGAUUAGCUAGUUGGUAAGGUAAUGGCUUACCAAGGCUACGAUCUGUAGCUGGUCUGAGAGGAUGAUCAGCCACACUGGGACUGAGACACGGCCCAGAUUCCUACGGGAGGCAGCAGUGGGGAAUAUUGCACAAUGGGCGCAAGCCUGAUGCAGCAAUGCCGCGUGUGUGAAGAAGGCUCUAGGGUUGUAAAGCACUUUCAAUAGAGAAGAAAAGCUUGAAAUUAAUACUUUCAAGCCUUGACGUAAUCUAUACAAGAAGCACCGGCUAAUUCCGUGCCAGCAGCCGCGGUAAUACGGGAGGUGCGAGCGUUAAUCGGAAUUACUGGGCGUAAAGCGAGCGUAGGCUGUUAAUUAAGUCGAAUGUGAAAUCCCCGGGCUCAACCUGGGAACUGCAUUCGAAACUAUUUAACUAGAGUAUGGGAGAGGAAAGUAGAAUUUCCGGUGUAGCGGUGAAAUGCGUAGAUAUCGGAAGGAACACCAGUGG
Molecule: ribosomal RNA, 695 nt
Filed under: uncultured bacterium
Lineage: Bacteria
Description: bacterial SSU rRNA
Rfam family: Bacterial small subunit ribosomal RNA
Source: RNAcentral